Molecule: ribosomal RNA, 504 nt
Filed under: uncultured bacterium
Lineage: Bacteria
Description: partial 16S ribosomal RNA
Rfam family: Bacterial small subunit ribosomal RNA
Source: RNAcentral
AUUGAACGCUGGCGGCAUGCCUUACACAUGCAAGUCGAACGGCAGCAUGGAGAGCUUGCUCUCUGAUGGCGAGUGGCGAACGGGUGAGUAAUGCAUCGGAACGUACCGUGUAAUGGGGGAUAACGUAGCGAAAGUUACGCUAAUACCGCAUACGACCUGAGGGUGAAAGCAGGGGAUCGCAAGACCUUGCGUUAUACGAGCGGCCGAUGUCAGAUUAGCUAGUUGGUGAGGUAAAGGCUCACCAAGGCGACGAUCUGUAGCGGGUCUGAGAGGAGGAUCCGCCCCACUGGGGCUGGGACACGGCCCAGACUCCUACGGGAGGCAGCAGUGGGGAAAUUUGGACAAUUGGGGCAACCCUGAUCCAGCCAUGCCGCGUGAGUGAAGAAGGCCUUCGGGUUGUAAAGCUCUUUCGGCCGGGAAGAAAUCGCACAGGCUAAUACUCUGUGUGGAUGACGGUACCGGCAUAAGAAGCACCGGCUAACUACGUGCCAGCCGCCGCGGUAA